GGGGCUGUAACUCAGUGGCAGAUCCUCAGCUGUACAUGCAGGACGUCCCAGGUUCAAUUCCUGGCAUCUCCA
RNAcentral lists this transfer RNA (72 nucleotides) under Sphaerodactylus townsendi. RNAcentral describes it as "tRNA-Val". The record is from RNAcentral. Lineage: Eukaryota; Metazoa; Chordata; Lepidosauria; Squamata; Sphaerodactylidae.